Molecule: ribosomal RNA, 387 nt
Filed under: Palisada intermedia
Lineage: Eukaryota; Rhodophyta; Florideophyceae; Ceramiales; Rhodomelaceae
Description: bacterial LSU rRNA
Rfam family: Bacterial large subunit ribosomal RNA
Source: RNAcentral
CCCUAUGAAGCUUUACUGUAGUUUGGAAUUGACUUCGGGUUUAUUUUGCGCAGUAUAGGUGGGAGGCUAAGAAUUUGCAUUUGCGGAUGUGAAGGAGCCAAUAGUGAGAUACCACUCUGAUUAAACUAGAAUUCUAAUCUUGAUGCCGUUAUCCGGCCAAGAGACAUUUUCAGAUGGGCAGUUUGACUGGGGCGGUCGCCUCCUAAAAAGUAACGGAGGCGUGCAAAGGUUUUCUCAGACUGGUCGGAAAUCAGUCGUAGAGUGUAAAGGCAUAAGAAAGCUUGACUGUGAGACUUACAAGUCAAACAGAGACGAAAGUCGGCCUUAGUGAUCCGACAGUUCUGAGUGGAAAGGCUGUCGCUCAACGGAUAAAAGUUACUCUAGGGA